RNAcentral lists this ribosomal RNA (497 nucleotides) under uncultured bacterium. Its description in RNAcentral is "partial 16S ribosomal RNA". It matches the Rfam family "Bacterial small subunit ribosomal RNA", at positions 28 to 507 of the family's 1533-position model. The record is from RNAcentral.
GAUGAACGCUGGCGGCGUGCCUAAUACACGCAAGUCGAGCGAACAGACGAGGAGCUUGCUCCUCUGACGUUAGCGGCGGACGGGUGAGUAACACGUGGAUAACCUACCUAUAAGACUGGGAUAACUUCGGGAAACCGGAGCUAAUACCGGAUAAUAUAUUGAACCGCAUGGUUCAAUAGUGAAAGACGGUUUUGCUGUCACUUAUAGAUGGAUCCGCGCCGCAUUAGCUAGUUGGUAAGGUAACGGCUUACCAAGGCAACGAUGCGUAGCCGACCUGAGAGGGUGAUCGGCCACACUGGAACUGAGACACGGUCCAGACUCCUACGGGAGGUAGCAGUAGGGAAUCUUCCGCAAUGGGCGAAAGCCUGACGGAGCAACGCCGCGUGAGUGAUGAAGGUCUUCGGAUCGUAAAACUCUGUUAUUAGGGAAGAACAAAUGUGUAAGUAACUAUGCACGUCUUGACGGUACCUAAUCAGAAAGCCACGGCUAACUACGUG